Molecule: long non-coding RNA, 473 nt
Filed under: Cricetulus griseus (Chinese hamster)
Lineage: Eukaryota; Metazoa; Chordata; Mammalia; Rodentia; Cricetidae
Description: lncRNA (ENSCGRG00015036602.1)
Source: RNAcentral
GGGAGAUGCCAUGUAGAGACCAGGAAGAUAGGAUGCGCCAAGUCUUUUCUGGAGCAAGGAUAUGGAUGAUCUGCAAAUGGAAACCUGGAAACUGAAUGAUCAGAGCCUUAACCAUGCUGCACACGAGGUCUCCACUAGGCUACGUCAUCAUCUGAAGCUCAUCCAGGCUGUCAACAAAAUUCAGCCCAGUGUUUCGCUGGCUGUUGGUGGGAUGCCAUACUUAGGCCCAGGAGGCUGCCCAUAGUCCCCACCAUAUGGCCUCCAGAUAAGCUGUUCACGACACUGCAGAUGAUUUCAUCGUGGCCAGUCUGUGUAUCUUCUUCACUCACUGACUUUUGUGUAACAAAAUGUAUCUAAUCAGCAAGAGAUUAGAUACAUUUCAUCCCUUUUGCACAUUCUAAGCUUCAGUGGGUUCUAUCUGAGCUCAAGGGGCUUGGACAAGGACUUUGGGGUCAUAGGAGGGUGUCUUUUAU